UUUAGAAGAUUCUGAAUAACUCUGUUAUAUGUGACUCAACUACAGUGAUUUUCAAGUGGGAAAGAGAAUAGGGGCAUCUCCCUUGAGAAAGCUUUUCACAAAAUCACAAUGAGCUAAUAUAAGUUUAGGCUUACAGAAGAUUUGCAAAAGUAGUUCAGAAUUUCUGGAUAGCCUUUACCAACACCCUCUGAUGUUACAUCUUAAAUAACCAUAGUACGGUUACCAAAGCUAAAUUAUCAUGGUUACAUUGCUGCUAACUAAAUAUAGGCUUCACUAGUGUUUUUUUAUGUCCUUUUUCUCUUUCAGAUUCUAAUUCAGGACCCACAUUGCAUUUAGUUGCUUAGUCUUCAUAAUCUUCUCCAGUCUCUUAGCAGUACCUCAGACUUUCAUGGUCUCUUAUGACCUUGAGGACUGGUCAGUUAUUUUGUAGACUGUCCCUUACCUGAUUGUAUGUUAAAUGCAAUACUAGUGUCACUUUGAUUAGUGAUGGAGUUAAAUGAUAAAUGUGCAGGUAAAUAAAGUCUUUACAACA
Molecule: long non-coding RNA, 532 nt
Organism: Pipistrellus kuhlii (Kuhl's pipistrelle)
Lineage: Eukaryota; Metazoa; Chordata; Mammalia; Chiroptera; Vespertilionidae
Exons: 2
Source: RefSeq, a predicted model, not a curated record